UCCUAGAAAAACCAUAGUAUUGUUUAUGUUCAACGUUUGACCGUCCAUCUUAUUUAAUUUUUUUAUGAUUAGUAUUUUUAUUGUUAUUAAAUGAUAAAAUAUAAAUAAUACUUUAUGUGUGACUAAUUUUUUUUAUUUUUUUUUAUAAAUUUCUUAAAUGAGAUAAACGAUUAAAUAUUGAACACGAAAACUAACAACAUCUGCACUUAAA
This is a microRNA precursor of Oryza rufipogon (brownbeard rice), 211 nucleotides long. It matches the Rfam family "MIR812 microRNA precursor family". The record is from Rfam. NCBI's taxonomy places the organism in Eukaryota, Viridiplantae, Streptophyta, Magnoliopsida, Poales, Poaceae.